Molecule: transfer RNA, 71 nt
Filed under: Dibamus bourreti
Lineage: Eukaryota; Metazoa; Chordata; Lepidosauria; Squamata; Dibamidae
Also listed under: 1 other name
Description: tRNA-Leu
Source: RNAcentral
ACCUCUAAAGGAUUUCAGCCAUCCAUUGGCUUUAGGCGCCAAAAAACUUGGUGCAACUCCAAGUAGAAGUA